Molecule: transfer RNA, 68 nt
Filed under: Lissorhoptrus oryzophilus (rice water weevil)
Lineage: Eukaryota; Metazoa; Arthropoda; Insecta; Coleoptera; Erirhinidae
Description: tRNA-Gln
Source: RNAcentral
UAUGCUUUAGUAUAUGAUGUAUAAAAAUUUUUGAUAUUUUAGGGAAUAGUUUGAUCUAUUAAGCAUAU